GUUUUGACGUAACCGUGACUGAACUGAGUUAUGUUUUAUUACGUUUUUGCGAGUUAGUUACUGUAACUUGGUUACUCUUAACAGUUUAGUGAGUUUUAUAACUGUCCAUGUCGAAUUGGAAAGAGUUUAUUGAUGUUCUAUUACCUGCUAGUUGGACUAAGUUGAACACGUGUGAAUUCUGAAUCGUGUAAUAAAAAGAUGAAAAAUAAUAAUUUUUAAUUUAAUCAAACAUCUACGUGACACGUGCUUAUACUAAUUGAUAGUAAGUUGAAGUUAUAAUGAUUGUAUUGACUAGGUACCUAUAUCUUGUUGUAAAAACUUCUAAAAACUAGAUAGCUUGAAAAAUGGUACCAUUAAGCUGAAUUUUAGUAUACACCUAAAUAACACAUGUGUGAAAUCGACAAAGGGCAUUUUUAGACCUUGACUAUGGGGGGAGGAUGAGUAAUAAUUAAAUUUAAUAUUAAUGAUUGAUAAGAAAAAUAUAUGUCAAAUUAUAUUAAUUAAAUCUACCUACUUCUGGACCAAUGACUAUGCCAAAUGCCAAUGAAAGUUCACUUCUCUCAGGAAGGGGGGGAGCGACCGCUCCCUUAAUAAAGGCGCUCCUGAAUCGAAAUGAUAUUCGAUUACACUUCAAAAGGUCACGAAAACUUUUUUUUUAGAAAUAUUUUGAUUUUAGUUUGUUGUAAGAUAAAAAGUUUUACAAAAGUUAUAGUAGAGAAAAUAAUCUUAAUUUUAUUUUUUAUUGUUUACAAAUAAUCGUUUUUGCGGUUUACGAAUUUUAAUGUUCAUCUUACAAAUAUGUGAAGGUAUUUAUAUAACAAUAAUACAAAUGCAAAUUUUAAAUGUUUCCAUAUUAUCAUUUAGGUAGAAACGAGGCACGUUUUUUUCAUGGUUUCUCCGUGACUUGAUUUAUGUAUAGUUGAUAAUAUUCAUAUCAUAAUAUUGUCUGUAAAAAAAAAAAAUAAUCAAAAAUUAAAUAUCAUAUUUUAUUUAUUAAUUUAUGACUUCGCCCUCGUCUCCUAUAUCGUAAUCGUAUACCUCUUCUUUAUCAUCUUGGAUUUUAAAUUCUGAGAGCAGCGAAGAAUGUAUUAGUUUUAUUAAGAUGUUUAUUUUUUUUUUUUUUGUUUAUGUGAACACUUUUUCUACCAGAAAGCUUACUCUGAUGUAUACGACGUAGACCCUUUCCUGAAAGGAAAUUUUCUUGGGCUGGUACUUUAAAACGGUGAUUUUUUGAUUUUCCCGAGAGUUUUCCCAGCAAAUAUGAAAAACCGAGAAAAAACAUGGACAACUGGGAGAACGGAAAAAUAAGUAUAAUAUUAAAAAAAUUAUAUUAAAGAAAAGGUUUAAUGUAGCGUUAAUCAAACUUUGGGUCGCGACCCACUUGUGAGUCUCGAGUAAAUUUUUGGUAGGUCGUGAAAAUUGUUUUGAAUUAUACAUAUUCCAAGAAAUUUAUGUUUUUAGAUUCUGAGCGGAGCAAGGAAUGUAUUGAUUUUACAAUGGUGUUUAUUUAUUUAUUUUUAUCUGUGAACAACUUUUCUACCAAGAAUUUUGCUCCGAUUUUUAAGUUUCUAAAAGAAAAUCUGACUGGGGUGGUACUUAGAGGGAGGUAAUUUUUUGAUUUUUCCAGCUGUUUUGAUAAACUACUUUUUGAAAAGUAAAACCAUGUGGGUCACCUUCCUAAGAAGAUUGAGAACCACUGGUUUAAUGCAUAAUAUCUAAUUAAUUUACUAUAAUAUAACCUAUGUAUUGUUGAAAAAGCAACAUUAUCAACCGAACUCUACUCAGAAUCGUUUUUUUGUUAGCAAAGGUUUACCAUUGCUUACAGAUAUCCAUUAAAUUACCUUUUGUAUCUUAUCUUUCCACUUACAACAGUGGCUGCACCCAUCAUGUGCGAAUUAUGUCCGUGUGACGACGGUGGUGUGAUUUUACAGGCGUAUUGUACUGUUAUAUUUUAUUUGAUACGUAUUGAAACAUAUCUAACGAAAGAAAUAAAUCAAAAAAAAAAGAUUUGAUCACCUGAAGAAAUAGGGACGGCUGUGCCACUGUUGUAGAUGGGAAGUUGAGAAGGUAGGAUACAUAAAGUAAUUUAAUUUAUAUCUGUAAGCAACGCAACAAUAAACCAUUGAGGGUCCACAUAAAAACUUGGACGGUACAAAUCUGGACGGUUUAUAAAUUUGAAAUAUAAUAUUUUAAAAAAAAGAGCUGAUACUGGGAACUGUGCAGCCACUAUUGUAGUUGGGAAGUUGAAAAGGUAGGAUACAUAAAUUUAUUUAACUUAAAUUGUUUGCAACGAUAUACCGUUGCUAACGAAAAAACGAUUAAAGUUAAUCAUAAAAAUUACGGCAUUUCAAAAUGUCUUACCGAACUUCGCUCUGAAUCUUUUUUUAAAUAUUAAAUUCCAAAAUUGUACCGUCCAGAAUUUUUACGGAUUUCAAAAUUGUAUAUUCCAGAUUUGUACCGUCCAAGUUUUUACAUUCCAGGUUUUUACGUGUUCCCACCAUUGCUAACGAAAAACGAUUCAGAGCAAGAUUCGGUUACAAAUGUUUAAUAGGCCGUAAUAUUUUCGGAUUAUCGUCAUAAUUUGAAAUUAAAACUUUAAAAACAAAUACUUUAUUAUACUUACUUAAUUAUUUUUUUGAAAACUAACGACUUAUAAUGAACUUCUUGUUUAAUUUUCAAGCAUGACUAACAAUUUUAUCUACAGAGUACCUACCAAAUAAAAAUUGUGUAAAAACUCGCAAAUUUAAAUGUCUAUAAAUAGCUCAAAAAUGGCUUAAAUAUUACCACGUUUAGAAAAAGCAAAUAUGUCAUCCGUCAAAAUUUAAAUCUUUACGAAUAUUUUUAAGAGAAUUAAAACAAAAAAAGACGGACAUAAUUCGCACGUGGCUGCAGCUACUGUAAUUGUUGUAGUUGGGAAGUUAGAACGGUAGGAUACAGAAUGGAAUUUAAUGUAUAUAUGUGAUCAACGAUAAACCAUUGCUAAUGAAAAAACGAUUCUGAGAGGAGUUCAAUUGAGAGUGAUGCUUUGACAACAAUAUAUAAUAUGUCAUGUUAUGGUAAGAUAAUUAAAUAUUCAUUAUAUAUUUUCUUUAUAAUAUUUGUUUAAUAUUGUACCGAUUUUCCCGUUUCUCCAUGUUUUUCCUGAUUUUCACAUUAGCUGGGAAAACUUAGGAAAAUCAAAAAAUCACCUUUCUAAGUAUCACCCUAAGAAAAUUUCCUUUAAGAAAAAGGUAUGCAUCACAUACAUCGGAGUAACCUUUCUGAUAGAAAAAGUUCAUAUAAAAGAAAAAAAAAACAUCUUUGUAAAACCAAUGCAUUUUUCACAACACUCAGAAUCUAAAACAAAAUUAAAAAUAAUAAUUAUAAAAAAAAAAACAUUGUUUUCGUUAAUUUCCCCAUUCUUUCUGCGUUUUUUUUUUCAGUUUUGCUCAAUUUUUUAAAAAAAUCUACUGGGAAAUUCAAAAAAUUACUUUCUUACCCAAUAUUCAAAAUGUAACAAAAAUGGUCGCUUGGUAUUUUUUAAUUAAAACAAUAUUUUCUAUAGAAAAUAUAGUUCAUAAAAAUUAAAAACAAUGAAAUCAUAACGCCGUGGUAUGCCGUAAAUACUUGCCGUUUGUCCGAUAAUUUUUUUUCCCGAUUUUUACCAAUUAUUAUGAAAAUCGAAAAAAAUUACCUCCUCAACCACAAUGCACCAACUAGAUUACAUUUACUUUCCAAAAAGGUGCCACACUUAAUACAUCGGAUCAAGAUUUCUGGUUGAAAAGUUGCUCUUAGAUACAAAAACAAAAUACUAUCAUCAUAGUAAAAACUUAUAGAUCCCCGCUACGCUCCAAAUCUAAAACAACUAUAUCUAUAACGCUUGAAAUUGUAAUAUGGCUAAAAGCCAAACAUUUAUGCUUUCUCUCUUAUAUAGUAAACUGCUACUUAGACAACAUUUUGGAACGAAUACAAAAAAAAAAAAAAUGUAUAAUAUACAUUAUGUAUGUGUAAAUGCCUACAUAAUUUUGAAUUUAAUUAAUUAGAUUAAAUGUUAAACCACUUGAAUUUGGAGUUGACAGGCGGACUUUGAUAAUAAUGAUAUUAAAAGUAUUUAAAAUAACUGUACAAAACCUUAAUUAUAUUGUAAGUAAUUAUUUAUAUUUUAAUGGCUUAACCCAAAAUCUGGGUUCUGGAUAUAAUACCUACGUAUUUCUUUAAAUAUCUUAAACUUCUUAGAGAUAAUAACUAUACAUAUUUUAUGAUUGAAUGGUUGUCAACUAUUUUAGAUUAAAAUUUGUUAGCAUAGAAAAUAAAGAAAUUACUUUUCAAUAAAUAGUCGUGGUCUAGGAUAUAUUAUAUAUGAUUAGUGAUUAUUGAUUACUUAAAGUAGAGCCUAGAAGCAUCUAGGUUAGGUCUAUCUAACUGAGCGCAGUAAUAAAUGUAUUGGUUUUACUAGAUGUGUGCUUUUUUCUAUGUCUGUAAACAACAUUUUUGCAAGAACCCUUGUUCCAACCAAAAACUAUAUAGACAUUUUCUUAUACAAUUUUUUAUUUUGUUGAUGCAUUGAGCAAGUUUCUUAUGAUUUUUUUUGAAGUUUUCUUAAUAAAUGGAAAAAAACUGGCAAUAUUUUUUGUACAAUUUUGUUGAUUUCUAACGUAGGUAUCAAGAGAAAAAUAUAAUUUAUAACAAUAUUGAAAUAAUACUCUUCUCGGAAUCGCUUUUUGUUAAUAAAGGUUUAUCUUUACAUAUGCCACAAAUUCAAUUACUCUAUAUAUCCUCGUUUUCAAAGUUCCAACUGCCUUUUCCUAAUACACACAUCAGCAAACUCAGCACACUCAUUAGCAGUAUUAGACUUUUUUUGUUGUGUAUUUAUAUUUAAUGAAUAUUAUUCUUAUAUUAAAAUUACUUCUAUCGGUACAAUAAUAAUGCACCAUGUAUCAUGUACGUACUCGCUACGCAUAAUACAGUAGAGUGCAAACUAUAAAAUUAUCGAACGGACUACAGACUUUUUUAAAAGAUAAACUCACACAAAACACCGCCACCACUGCCGGUUGUAAUUGCUAAAUAAUAUUUUGUCAUGCCGGUUACGUAAGAUUAAUUUUUAAGGCAUUAAAAAGAACAUUUAAAAUUAAUCGAAUUUUAGACAUUUAUAAAAAAAAUGUAUUAGAACUUGUUUAAUGUAGCUCUAAUCGAUCUAAAAUGUCAGUCUGAUCUACGUGACAUUUCAAAUAAAAUGAGUGCAUUUGCAAUUUAUAAUUAUUCAGUUGUUCUAGUAGUUUGUCCACGUAAAAAAAAACCACGAACAUGCUAAUUAAUGUUUACGGAAAUUAUAAAAUAUAGAUAUCUUUUUAAUUUUUAACUAAACAUAUUUAUACAUUUAAAUAAUUAAAUUUCUGUGUAGUUUUUUUAAGUUCAAAUCAUACGAUAAGGUUUAGUAAAAAAAGGAUUCGUGGAAAUUUUUACCUAGAUAUAAUGCGAAUACACAUAUUGAAUAAUAAGAAGAAUGUAUAAAUAUCGUAACAGAAAAAUUAACUAAAAAUGCAUUAUAUUUGCUUAAACAUUAUCUGGGAGAAUUAUAAAUAUACCUACUUUUUACGAUACGCUCCAUUAUCUAACUAUCUCGUAAAGUAUAUUUUUGCUAGACAAUGUUACAUCGAUUCAGUGCAUUAACUUUUAAAAUAUUAUUGCCAACAUUUUAAUGACAUGUUUAAAUUUUUAAUGUUUUUAGAUAAUAAUAAUUUUUUAUUCAAAAAAUUAUGUAAACAAACAUAAAACUGAUUUUUAAAAUUAUAAGUAAGUAAUAAUUAAAGUUAAUUUUUUUUCAAUAAAUAAACCAUUAAUAAUACAAAUAAAAUUACGUGAUCUGACUUGUCAAAAAUAAAAAAAAAUAUAGACAUACUUUGCACUGUAGGUGGGCCACGGUUGUAGAUGAAAAAUUGGGAUGUCGAGAGAAUUUAAUGUUUAUCUGUACGUGACAAUUGAUCGUCACUAACGAAAAUCGAUUCUGAUUGGAGUUCGGUUGUACAUGUUUUGAAAAGCCGUAAUAUUUACGAUUUGAAAAUAAUGAAUUCUCUCAUUUUUCCUGUGUUUUUUCCCGAUUUUCCCAUUUAUUAAGAAAACUCCUGGAAAAAUAACCUCGUUAAAGUCUUAUCCUAGUAAAAUUUCUUUUCAGAAACAGUGCUACACAUGAAAAUCGGAGAAUAAUUUUUAGUAGAAAAGUUAUUCACAGAAAAAAAAUCAUCAUUGUAAAACAAAUACAUUCCUCGCUCCGCUUAGAAUCUAAAAUUACACUUGCAAAAACUUAGUUUAGGCUUGCAUAAUUAGAGAUCAUCCGUGUUUUCGAAAAUAUUGAUGAAUUACUAACCGCACUUAAAUUUAUUUUUAUUUGUUUAAUCCCUUUUAAUUGUGACUUAAGUCAAGAAUUCCAUGCCCUUGACAAUUAAAUGCCUACGAAAAAUGUUUUUUGACGCAGAGUUAAAUAUAAAAUGUAUAAUCAUAGCUACCGGUUUAUGGCUUAUUGUUUAUUUAAAAAAUAUGUAUAUAUAUAUAUAUAUAUAUACAAAUGCCUUUUUUAGAUGUGCAAUUAGGUAUUAUAAUAAGUUAUUUAUAUAGCGUUAAUAUAAUAUUAUUUAUUAUUUUGAUCAAACUAACCGUUUAAAGAAUACUUAUUGAAAGUAUAUAUUUCCAGAAUUGAACACGAUUGUUAUUUUUUUUAUUAAAUUUAAAAUUCCACUUAAUAUUAAAUUCUAACCAUCAAGAAUAACUAGCAUAUAUUAUAAAUCUCAUAUUUAUAUAUAUAUAUAUAUAUAUAUAUUUAUUUGAUCAAAUAUAAAUUUAAAAACGUAUAGAUAUUAUGUAACAACAUCUAAAACAUAUGCUAUUAUAUUUUAGUGUGUACGGUUGGUAGGUAAUAUAUAAUUUAUAAUGUAUUAUAGGUGCCUACAUGAUUUAAUAUAAUGUUCAUAAAACUACUGACCACGUGACUUUGAAGUAUCAAUUAUGGUGUUUUUAAUGAUAUUGGAUAAAGAACAAAUUACAAAGAACAUCUGGAAAAAAUCCAAAAAUGUUUAUAUUACACACGUGUUGUCUCGAGAAGUUUAAAUUAUGAGUGUAUUCAUCGUUUAACAGGAGGAAAAAUGUGAAUCUUAAAGAAAAUUAAAAUUGUUCGACCUUUGACAUUUAUUAUAAUUAUAAUGUUCUAGUUAUUAAAUUAUAACAUGGUGUGUAAUGUGUAAUAGUGUGUAAAGGUAAUGAAAUAUCUUAAUAUUAUAAUAAUUAUAAUAUAACAUUUAGUUUUUAGUAAUUAUUAUGAUGCCGAAAUAGAAAAGAUAAUAUCAUAUUGUAUUUUUUUUUCUUAGAAAUUAAUUAUAUUAGACCAACAUUUUUCAAUGACUAUUAACAUUUAUGCAC
This 7389-nucleotide long non-coding RNA is filed under the name Cinara cedri. Lineage: Eukaryota; Metazoa; Arthropoda; Insecta; Hemiptera; Aphididae. The record is from RNAcentral.